UUAUUUGAGAGUUUGAUCCUGGCUCAGGAUGAACGCUGGCGGCGUGCCUAACACAUGCAAGUUGAGCGAUUUACUUCGGUAAAGAGCGGCGGACGGGUGAGUAACGCGUGGGUAACCUACCCUGUACACACGGAUAACAUACCGAAAGGUAUGCUAAUACGGGAUAACAUAUUUGAGAGGCAUCUCUUAAAUAUCAAAGGUGAGCCAGUACAGGAUGGACCCGCGUCUGAUUAGCUAGUUGGUAAGGUAACGGCUUACCAAGGCGACGAUCAGUAGCCGACCUGAGAGGGUGAUCGGCCACAUUGGAACUGAGACACGGUCCAAACUCCUACGGGAGGCAGCAGUGGGGAAUAUUGCACAAUGGGCGAAAGCCUGAUGCAGCAACGCCGCGUGAGUGAUGAAGGCCUUCGGGUCGUAA
RNAcentral lists this ribosomal RNA (418 nucleotides) under Clostridioides difficile. Its description in RNAcentral is "bacterial SSU rRNA". It matches the Rfam family "Bacterial small subunit ribosomal RNA", at positions 1 to 428 of the family's 1533-position model. Lineage: Bacteria; Bacillati; Bacillota; Clostridia; Peptostreptococcales; Peptostreptococcaceae. The record is from RNAcentral.